AUUUUCCGGUUAGCCUUCGGGGUGUCCGCGUGAGAAUUGGCUAUAUCCUGGAGCGAGUGCUGGGAGGUGCUAGUCCGCCGCGCCUUAUUCGAGAGGUGUCAGGGCUGGGAGACUAGGAUGUCGGACACGUGGAGCUCUAUCCAGGCCCACAAGAAGCAGCUGGACUCUCUGCGGGAGAGGCUGCAGCGGAGGCGGAAGCAGGACUCGGGGCACUUGGAUCUACGGAAUCCAGAGGCAGCAUUGUCUCCAACCUUCCGUAGUGACAGCCCAGUGCCUACUGCACCCACCUCUGGUGGCCCUAAGCCCAGCACAGCUUCAGCAGUUCCUGAAUUAGCUACAGAUCCUGAGUUAGAGAAGAAGUUGCUACACCACCUCUCUGAUCUGGCCUUAACAUUGCCCACUGAUGCUGUGUCCAUCUGUCUUGCCAUCUCCACGCCAGAUGCUCCUGCCACUCAAGAUGGGGUAGAAAGCCUCCUGCAGAAGUUUGCAGCUCAGGAGUUGAUUGAGGUAAAGCGAGGUCUCCUACAAGAUGAUGCACAUCCUACUCUUGUAACCUAUGCUGACCAUUCCAAGCUCUCUGCCAUGAUGGGUGCUGUGGCAGAAAAGAAGGGCCCUGGGGAGGUAGCAGGGACUGUAACAGGGCAGAAGCGGCGUGCAGAACAGGACUCAACUACAGUAGCUGCCUUUGCCAGUUCGUUAGUCUCUGGUCUGAACUCUUCAGCAUCGGAACCAGCAAAGGAGCCAGCCAAGAAAUCAAGGAAACAUGCUGCCUCAGAUGUUGAUCUGGAGAUAGAGAGCCUUCUGAACCAACAGUCCACUAAGGAACAACAGAGCAAGAAGGUCAGUCAGGAGAUCCUAGAGCUAUUAAAUACUACAACAGCCAAGGAACAAUCCAUUGUUGAAAAAUUUCGCUCUCGAGGUCGGGCCCAAGUGCAAGAAUUCUGUGACUAUGGAACCAAGGAGGAGUGCAUGAAAGCCAGUGAUGCUGAUCGACCCUGUCGCAAGCUGCACUUCAGGUCUCUUGGAAGGGAAUGAGGUGGGAUGGGUUUGUCAGAAGCAGCCAUUCCUUUUCAGCAUAUUCCUUCCAGUCAUUGGGGUUCUGUCUGUAAUCUUAUUUAGUUUAUGGUUUGUGUAAGUCCUCCAGACCCUGAAGGUGUACUUUCAGAAGUGCAUUGUGUGGGAAGAAUACAGGCUGUACUCCCAAAUAAUUGAGAUUUUUUUUUUAAAAGCUCCCUCCCUCUUAGAAUAGCAAAGUAUGUCUGUCUCUGAGCCACAGUGAAAGUUAAAGUACUCUGAAAGGAGGAUAAUCUUAGGAGAAAAGGAACCUAAACUCUUAGGUCAGUGUUUUAUUCUGUUCUACCCAAGUCUCCUGCACUGCUUGCCUUCCAGUGGUAAAACAGGAAACCAAGUCUUUACUCAGAGAGGAAUUACAAUUGUUCUGUAGUAUGAAUUAUGGAUUUCCAUGCUACCUGCCUCCCUUAAAACUCUUGGAGGAAGCUCUAAUGAUAGAAUUAGGGGAGGGUAAUAAAAUAGACAUUUUGAAAUCAUUUGGAAUUUGAACUGUUGGAUCUACAUCUGGAGCACCAUCUUGA
Molecule: small RNA, 1592 nt
Filed under: Pan troglodytes (chimpanzee)
Lineage: Eukaryota; Metazoa; Chordata; Mammalia; Primates; Hominidae
Description: retained intron
Source: RNAcentral